The sequence is an unclassified non-coding RNA, 298 nucleotides long. It matches the Rfam family "Metazoan signal recognition particle RNA". Rfam says of the family: The signal recognition particle (SRP) is a universally conserved ribonucleoprotein. It is involved in the co-translational targeting of proteins to membranes. The record is from Ensembl.
GCCGGGCGCGGUGGCGCGUGCCUGUAAUCCAAGCUACUGGGAGGCUGAGGCUGGCGGAUCGUUUGAGCUCAGGGGUUCUGGGCUGCAGUGGGCUAUGCCGAUCGGGUGUCCGCACUAAGUUCGGUAUCGAUAUGGUGCUCCUGAGGGAGCUCGGGACCACCAGGUCGCCUAAGGAGGGGUGAACCGGCCCAGGUCGGGAACGGAGCAGGUCAAAGCCCCCGUGCCGAUCAGUAGUGGGAUCGCGCCUGUGAAUAGACACUGCCGUGCAGCCUGAGUAAUACAGCGGGACUCAGUCUUU